Pseudophryne corroboree (corroboree frog) is the source of this 423-nucleotide long non-coding RNA. RefSeq lists it as uncharacterized. The transcript has 3 exons. Lineage: Eukaryota; Metazoa; Chordata; Amphibia; Anura; Myobatrachidae. The record is from RefSeq and is a predicted model, not a curated record.
UCCACCCUACUUCCGGUCAUUGAGUUCCACACACCGGACGUGAGUUUUCAUCGCCUGCUGCAGCCUCCCAGUGUCCGUCGUGAUCAGACACUCCAGCUGUGAGGAACCAGAGUCAUUAUUACACGUCACACGUUCUGUAUUCUUAUCUAUCACUAAGCAUGGACACGUCCGGGAGUCUCAGGACUGAGAGGAUAAUAAAUAUCACCCUGGAGAUCAUCUACCUGCUGACUGGAGAGGAUUACACAGUAGUGAGGAAGACAUCCAGUGAAUGUGAAUCACCCAGCAGCCAUCACCAUGUGUCAGGAGGACUGAGCAGGACCCAGAGCCACAUCACGGUGCCUCCACCUCGCUCACUGAUACAUGAGAGACACAAUGACCAGAAGAUCCUGAAACUCACCCACAAGAUCAUUCAGCUGCUGACUG